AACGAACGCUGGCGGCAGGCCUAACACAUGCAAGUCGAGCGCGCCCUUCGGGGUGAGCGGCGGACGGGUGAGUAACGCGUGGGAACGUGCCCUUUUCUACGGAAUAGCCUCGGGAAACUGAGAGUAAUACCGUAUACGCCCUUUGGGGGAAAGAUUUAUCGGAAAAGGAUCGGCCCGCGUUGGAUUAGGUAGUUGGUGGGGUAAUGGCCUACCAAGCCGACGAUCCAUAGCUGGUUUGAGAGGAUGAUCAGCCACACUGGGACUGAGACACGGCCCAGACUCCUACGGGAGGCAGCAGUGGGGAAUCUUAGACAAUGGGGGCAACCCUGAUCUAACCAUGCCGCGUGAGUGAUGAAGGCCUUAGGGUUGUAAAGCUCUUUCAGCUGGGAAGAUAAUGACGGUACCAGCAGAAGAAGCCCCGGCUAACUCCGUG
Molecule: ribosomal RNA, 433 nt
Filed under: uncultured bacterium
Lineage: Bacteria
Description: partial 16S ribosomal RNA
Rfam family: Bacterial small subunit ribosomal RNA
Source: RNAcentral